Long non-coding RNA from Gambusia affinis (western mosquitofish), 348 nucleotides. RefSeq lists it as uncharacterized. The record is from RefSeq and is a predicted model, not a curated record. The transcript is spliced from 2 exons. Lineage: Eukaryota; Metazoa; Chordata; Actinopteri; Cyprinodontiformes; Poeciliidae.
ACUUGCCGUCCAGACUCUCCAGGACGUGGCGGAACAGCCCGUUCCUGAUGGCCGCCUCGUCACUGCUGUGGCCUGCUAAUGUUUGGAGCAGAGGUCCAUAAGACCAGCUGGAUUCGCAGAAUGACUGGAACAGACAGAAAAGUGUUUGCUACAGACGGAGGAGGCCGGAUGUGUUUGCCUGCCACCCCGUCUCCCCACAUAAAGACAAACCCAGAUCUUCAGCUCAGGCAGCAGGCAAAUAAAGGGCCCUUUCAAGGCAAACACAAAGGCAGAGAUGGAGCUGAAUGGGACUGACUGCUCUCCUUAAAGAUAAUGCAAGUUCCUAGAUUAGCUAAUUUGGACAGAUUU